GCGGUUGUGGUGGAAUUGGUAGACACGCAGCGUUGAGGUCGCUGUGGUUUAAAAAAAGACCUUGGAAGUUCGAGUCUUCUCAACCGCACCA
RNAcentral lists this transfer RNA (91 nucleotides) under Ehrlichia ruminantium (heartwater rickettsia). RNAcentral describes it as "tRNA-Leu". It matches the Rfam family "tRNA". Rfam says of the family: Transfer RNA (tRNA) molecules are approximately 80 nucleotides in length. Lineage: Bacteria; Pseudomonadati; Pseudomonadota; Alphaproteobacteria; Rickettsiales; Anaplasmataceae. The record is from RNAcentral.